UACGUAGGGUGCGAGCGUUGUCCGGAAUUACUGGGCGUAAAGAGCUCGUAGGUGGUUUGUCGCGUUGUUCGUGAAAACUCACAGCUCAACUGUGGGCGUGCGGGCGAUACGGGCAGACUGGAGUACUGCAGGGGAGACUGGAAUUCCUGGUGUAGCGGUGGAAUGCGCAGAUAUCAGGAGGAACACCGGUGGCGAAGGCGGAUCUCUGGGCCUUACCUGACGCUGAGACGCGAAAGCUAGGGGAGCGAACAGG
Molecule: ribosomal RNA, 253 nt
Filed under: uncultured bacterium
Lineage: Bacteria
Description: partial 16S ribosomal RNA
Rfam family: Bacterial small subunit ribosomal RNA
Source: RNAcentral